GACGAACGCUGGCGGCGUGCUUAACACAUGCAAGUCGAACGGAAAGGCCCUGCUUUUGUGGGGUGCUCGAGUGGCGAACGGGUGAGUAACACGUGAGUAACCUGCCCUUGACUUUGGGAUAACUUCAGGAAACUGGGGCUAAUACCGGAUAGGAGCUCCUGCUGCAUGGUGGGGGUUGGAAAGGUUCGGCGGUUGGGUAUGGACUCGCGGCUUAUCAGCUUGUUGGUGGGGUAGUGGCUUACCAAGGCUUUGACGGGUAGCCGGCCUGAGAGGGUGACCGGCCACAUUGGGACUGAGAUACGGCCCAGACUCCUACGGGAGGCAGCAGUGGGGAAUAUUGCACAAUGGGCGGAAGCCUGAUGCAGCAACGCCGCGUGCGGGAUGACGGCCUUCGGGUUGUAAACCGCUUUCGCCUGUGACGAAGCGUGAGUGACGGUAAUGGGUAAAGAAGCACCGGCUAACUACGUG
RNAcentral lists this ribosomal RNA (468 nucleotides) under uncultured bacterium. RNAcentral's name for it is "partial 16S ribosomal RNA". It matches the Rfam family "Bacterial small subunit ribosomal RNA", at positions 28 to 507 of the family's 1533-position model. The record is from RNAcentral.